AGAGCGAACGCUGGCGGCGGGCCUAACACAUGCAAGUCGAACGGACCCUUCGGGGUUAGUGGCGGACGGGUGAGUAACACGUGGGAACGUGCCUUUAGGUUCGGAAUAGCUCCUGGAAACGGGUGGUAAUGCCGAAUGUGCCCUUCGGGGGAAAGAUUUAUCGCCUUUAGAGCGGCCCGCGUCUGAUUAGCUUGUUGGUGAGGUAAUGGCUCACCAAGGCUACGAUCAGUAGCUGGUCUGAGAGGAUGACCAGCCACAUUGGGACUGAGACACGGCCCAAACUCCUACGGGAGGCAGCAGUGGGGAAUCUUGCGCAAUGGGCGAAAGCCUGACGCAGCCAUGCCGCGUGUAUGAUGAAGGUCUUAGGAUUGUAAAAUACUUUCACCGGUGAAGAUAAUGACUGUAGCCGGAGAACGACGCCCGACUAACGUUCGUACGCCGAGCACGCCGGUACGGUAACUCGUAGGACGGCCGGGUCGUCGGACCGAACGGCGACCGAAGUA
RNAcentral lists this ribosomal RNA (503 nucleotides) under uncultured soil bacterium. Its description in RNAcentral is "bacterial SSU rRNA". It matches the Rfam family "Bacterial small subunit ribosomal RNA", at positions 30 to 543 of the family's 1533-position model. The record is from RNAcentral.